RNAcentral lists this ribosomal RNA (253 nucleotides) under uncultured bacterium. RNAcentral describes it as "partial 16S ribosomal RNA". It matches the Rfam family "Bacterial small subunit ribosomal RNA", at positions 524 to 776 of the family's 1533-position model. The record is from RNAcentral.
UACGUAGGGGGCAAGCGUUGUCCGGAAUCAUUGGGCGUAAAGCGCGUGUAGGCGGCUCGGUAAGUCUGCUGUGAAAGUCCAGGGCUCAACCCUGGGAUGCCGGUGGAUACUGUCGAGCUCGAGUCCGGAAGAGGCGAGUGGAAUUCCUGGUGUAGCGGUGAAAUGCGCAGAUAUCAGGAGGAACACCAAUGGCGAAGGCAGCUCGCUGGGACGUGACUGACGCUGAGAAGCGAAAGCGUGGGGAGCAAACAGG